AUGGCAACCAACAAGGUUGAGGCAACCGAGUUUGAGAUUGUAACGGAGAAGCCUUACAAGAUAUGCUCUUCUGCUGAUCUCCUCCGCUAUGGGAAGCAGUUCAAUGAUUUUGUUGUUGUUUGUCCGGAUGCAUUUGCUGGCCUUAGGCGCCUGUGGCUGCGCAAUAUGAGCUUUGGUGAACUGGACAUUCCCAACAUCCUCAGCACUUGCAAUCUCUUGGAGUAUUUGGGUUUAAGCCAUUGCGACUCGGGGAUCCAUUCUGUGCUGCAAGUAGAGCAUGCCCAACUUGUUGAGCUCCAAGUUGACAAUGGGAAAUUUGAGAGAGUUGAGCUGAUAUGUCUACCGAAACUCCAACGGGUGACCUAUACUAAUUGGUCCUCUUAUGAAGAUCCCAUGUAUUUUGGUUUUGUGCCACAACUUUCAAAGCUGAGCCUUAUUAAAAUUGGCGUCGGUUCACAGAAGACCCUUGAGUUAAGUCAGCUACUUGCUAAUGUUCCUUCCAUAAGUGAACUAUAUCUGGAUUUUAGAAGUGAGAAGCAAUAG
This 543-nucleotide ribosomal RNA is filed under the name Triticum aestivum (bread wheat). RNAcentral describes it as "partial small subunit ribosomal RNA". Lineage: Eukaryota; Viridiplantae; Streptophyta; Magnoliopsida; Poales; Poaceae. The record is from RNAcentral.